RNAcentral lists this ribosomal RNA (586 nucleotides) under uncultured bacterium. Its description in RNAcentral is "bacterial SSU rRNA". It matches the Rfam family "Bacterial small subunit ribosomal RNA", at positions 338 to 916 of the family's 1533-position model. The record is from RNAcentral.
CCUACGGGAGGCAGCAGUGGGGAAUUUUGGACAAUGGGCGCAAGCCUGAUCCAGCAAUGCCGCGUGAGUGAAGAAGGCCUUCGGGUUGUAAAGCUCUUUUGUCAGGGAAGAAACGGUGGGAGCUAAUAUCUCCCGCUAAUGACGGUACCUGAAGAAUAAGCACCGGCUAACUACGUGCCAGCAGCCGCGGUAAUACGUAGGGUGCAAGCGUUAAUCGGAAUUACUGGGCGUAAAGCGUGCGCAGGCGGUUUUGUAAGUCUGUCGUGAAAGCCCCGGGCUCAACCUGGGAAUUGCGAUGGAGACUGCAAGGCUUGAAUCUGGCAGAGGGGGGUAGAAUUCCACGUGUAGCAGUGAAAUGCGUAGAGAUGUGGAGGAACACCGAUGGCGAAGGCAGCCCCCUGGGUCAAGAUUGACGCUCAUGCACGAAAGCGUGGGGAGCAAACAGGAUUAGAUACCCUGGUAGUCCACGCCCUAAACGAUGUCUACUAGUUGUCGGGUUUUAAUUAACUUGGUAACGCAGCUAACGCGUGAAGUAGACCGCCUGGGGAGUACGGUCGCAAGAUUAAAACUCAAAAGGAAUUGACGG